Molecule: long non-coding RNA, 3093 nt
Organism: Amphiprion ocellaris (clown anemonefish)
Lineage: Eukaryota; Metazoa; Chordata; Actinopteri; Pomacentridae
Exons: 4
Source: RefSeq, a predicted model, not a curated record
UGCCAUAUUGCAAACAGCACCACAGGGAAGGGCCCUGCUGGUAAACGCUGAUGGAUUGACAUUGGCGUGGAUUUUAUAAGCUCCAAACCAGCAGCGAGAUGAUGCUGUUGGCAGCCUGGCAUAGAGAGCAGGGGCAGAUAGAUAAGAUAUGGCCAGCUGGCGAACUCUGCAAAGCCUAUGCACAGUUCGUAAUGACACACAUGUGCAGGCUGCCAGCUGUAUCUAUAAACAGACAAUAACCAUCAGCGUGAAUGGAGAAGAGUGAAAGGAUCUAUCCUCCACUGUGCCAGACUGAGACGCCACCCGGGGACAGAAAUGACCACAACAACCUGCCAUCUUACAGGGUCCGUGUACGGAUCUGGUAAUUGGAUUUUCCGUUCUGAAACGGAUAUUGAAAAACAAAAAACGAGUGGUUAUUUGAUUUUCGGUUUAAAAUACAAAAAUUAAAAUUGAAAUACAAGGCGUUUGUCCUUUUCAUGAUCAAAAAGGGAUAUACAUUUUUUUAAUUGCUUUGAUUUUCGUUUUAUAUUUAGAAUAACAAGAAAGUAAAAUCAGUAAGAGACAGAAACGAAAAAAGGUCCGUUUUUUCAUUUUCUGAGACCGGAAGUGGUCAUCAGCAAGUGUGGAGCCAAACGACAAGAAGAUUCUCAGAGGGCGGAGCCAGAGAGCAGUGAUUGGUCAGACCAUAGAUAAUAUAGAAGACAGCGCGCUAGCGUAUCUAGUCUAUGUAUAUCUAUGGUCGGCACGUCUGGUAGCAUCUCUGGCUGCUGUUGACCUUGUUUUUGGAGUAAAACACGGGGGAAGCUGAAUUAGUGAGGAUGACUCCUGCUCCUGUCAUCUCUAAGCUCCUCACACAUCUUUACCUGCACAUGAGGAAAAUCACUCCUGUAGAAUGCAGGGUGGGUCCUACCUAGACCAGGCUGAUCCUGGACCAUCCCACAGAUGCUCCAUCAGAUCUGGAUGUGGAGAGUGUGGAACCCAGAUGUUCAGAGGGAGAUGAUGCCACAUCUGGUCCAGCUGAUGGAAGGUCUUGAAGUUCUCUGACUGGCCUCGACUGAAGAUGGUCGUCUCACUGGAUUUAAGGUUCAGAUGCUCAGUAACAAACUCCACCAAUGUGCCAACAGGGAAGCUUUAGGUUUAUUAAAUGUUGCUAUGAAGGUUUCGCUGUUUUUCUUUGUGAAUGCAAUGUGCUCCAACUGAAACUUGAAUUAGAACUUAGAAGUAAAUCCUUCCAUCUGAAAGGAUUUAGUUGCAUUAAUAACCUCAUAACAUUCAAAUUUUUAUUCCAGUCUUGGUUGAAAAUAGAAUCUCUGUAUUGAUUCAGGUAAAAACUGAACUUCACAGCAUGUUGGAGCAAAACAACCAGAUGAAAACUGUGAUGGUGUUGGAUUGUCAGACCGUAAUGUUGCAGCUCAAAGCAGCUUUUCUAUCUCAGUUCAUUCUGACAUUCAGCUAUGAAUCAACACAGCAGAUGGUGAUCCAUGCUGUGGAAGUCUCACAUCUCCUGAUUUAAUGGAGCUGCUUUGCACUUUUUACACUGUUUAUUCACCAACACUUUAUUUAAUAAAAGUCCCAUCUAGUUUUUAUGAGGAAUGUGAUGUUUUAAUUUCUCUGUGAAUAACUGCAGUCUAAUGCAACAGCUGGAGUUGUAACAUCUGUCCUGAUAUUGAUCAUGAAGUAUUGAUCAGAAUACUUAUGGUCAGCAGUCAUCCCUGAAGUUUUACAUUAAAAUCUUUACUUGUGUUGUGAACUUUGGUAAGAAGCAGAAACGUUAGCGUUGCUAUGGAUACAUGAGUGUUAAAUUCUGUCCAUUUUUCCAUUUUGGGAAAUGCAGUCCAGUUCCAGAAUGUGGAGGAAUUUAGUCUCACAAUCACAGACAACAAAUAUUAUCUGAAAGUCGGGUUAUUGUUGUUUAUUAGCACAAUACAGAAAGAUUAAUGUUAGAAAUAUUCCAGUUAAGACUCUAGAAUAUCAUGAUUUAUGUAAAUUUACCUCAAUAAUAUGAAUGUUCAGGUUAAGAUUGUACAGUGAUAUUUAUUAUGUAAGUUUAGCUGAUUAAAGUUUAUGACUCUGCACUACAAUAUUAUUUAAAUUGACAUCAUUAUUUUAAUAUUUAGGGUCAGACCCUACAGUAUUGAGAUUAAGAAAUCAAAUAUUCUAUAAAAUGUAAAUAAACUGAACUCAUGUGGAUAUAUUUAAGUGAGACUCUACAAUAUUAUUUGACACAAAUCUAUCUAAAUCAAAUUUUAAUAAUUUUCACACCAAACAUUUACUGGACUGAUUUAAAUAUUAAAAUCACUCCUUUCUAAUCCUCUGCUGUACCUUCAAACCUGAGGCCUUAAAUAGAAACACACAAGUAUCUGUUUGAAGGAACUUCUGCAGAGUCCUGGUUCCAGAACAUGAUGAUAGAAUUAUAGACAAACUUUAACAAAAGCUGCCUGAGAGUUUACAGGUUUUUAUGUUGGAUUUCUUCAGUACUUUAAUGAGCGUUAUCAGCAAUAAUCAAGUGUUCAUUUGAUGAACUUCAUUUUCUAAAACAUACAGAAUUAGAGCUCAUAUCUUUGGCAGCUGUAAAGUUUCUGCUCCUUCAAAGUUCACAACACAAUGAAUGAAUUCCUAAAACUCUCUCAGUGCUGGAGAGCGUUUGAUGCUGAAGCAGUGACCAGUUUUUCUGUUUCUUCUCUGGAGAUGCACAAUGAGGGACGUCUGCAUAGACUGAGAAAGAGUCUCACCACAUCCUGACAUGAGGAUAAAGACUUUAUUGAAGACUACAAUGAGAAAAACUAUCAGACAGCAGACGGCUGCAUUCAAGGUGAGCUCUGAACAUUUGAUCUGGAACAGGAAUUCAAUAACAGCAGCAUGAGCUUCAUUUCAGUCUGUAGCUGCUGAAUUCAUGGAUGAAUCAUCUGGCACUAGAGAGGAAGACCAUCAAACAUCCAUGUCAGCUGAUGGAGGUCCAAGAGUCUCACCGAACAAACAACCUACAGAGUGAAGACCUCAAAUCUGAUUGGACGGCCUCCUAUUCAGCCACAUGUGUGAACAAAUGCCUCUAAGCUGAUUUGUUUUCUAAAAUAAAUCUAGUUUGAGUCCUAA